RNAcentral lists this unclassified non-coding RNA (631 nucleotides) under Hevea brasiliensis (rubber tree). Lineage: Eukaryota; Viridiplantae; Streptophyta; Magnoliopsida; Malpighiales; Euphorbiaceae. The record is from RNAcentral.
GAGAGAGAGAGAGAGAGAAUGUGUGUGUGGGAGAGAUUUGGAGAGAGAGAGAGAAAGAGAGGUCUUAGGUGCUCAUUUUUGCCAUAAGUCCAGUCCACAAUUUCCAUAUAAAAGCCUAACUCUAACUUUCUCUAAAGCUAAGCUUUUCUUCUCUCCUUCCCCCUAUUUGUGCCUCCAUUGUCACCUCCUCCUUCACCUCAUUUUCUUUCAUACCUCCUCUGGCUCUCUUUAGUCCUCACUUUCUUCUCUCUCUAUAGACUAUAAUUCCCCAUCUCCUUCUCCUCGUCCUGUCUUCUUCUUUUUUGUCUAACAACGCAACCCCUCUCUUUAGUUUAGUUCAAUGAUCUCUUUAUCUUUGCCAUCUCUUCUUGGAAGAACAUUUCGCAUAUUGAGCUUUAGCCUCUCCAAUGGUCUAAUAUUGCUCAUUUCACAUAUGAUUGUUGCUUCGGUGGUGCUUUUGCAGUGUUGCUUCACUUGUGUGGUUUAUGUACUUUUCACGGUGUUGUUGCAAUGUACGUUCAGACACACGGUUUUGUUGCACUGUUCUAAAUCUACUCAUUCCCUAAUUCCCUAUUAUUUAUGAUUUGGCUUUAUAUUUUUUUUAUAUUUUUCAAUUUUUUUUUAUUUGCUU